AAAAAAACAGAAAGAAAAAGUUUCACUCCAAUACAACACUCGAUAAAUUUGUAUCAAUAUCUGUGAUAAAAGAAAGUAAUUAAUAACCCGCAGGUAGUUUCAGAUAAUACGUGCAUCAGGAAUAACAAAUAAGUUGCUGGUUUGAAAAAAUAGUGCGCGAGCAUUCUCACUUUAAAUGACACUGGUAGUAAGUUAUAGUUCACCAUAAAUCAGGUAGGUGACCUAGUAGCGUUAGUAAAAUGGCGUCUACGGGAGUGACGGGAGGAUUUGUUUCAGGAGGAUAAUCUGAUUGGCGUUUGUGUAAAGACAAUAAAUACAAAAGCAUUACAAGUGUUCGGAUAAGAAGAUAUCCGGAAACUUACGUAGAUGAAUGUCUAUUAUUAUGAAGUGUGAGUGCUAUUGAAUUCGUCGUUUUGUCUUGUAAAAUUCCAUCGCUUCAAUACGCGAAUGGCCGCCGUAAAUUAUUUCAUUCGAAUAGACGUAAAAUUAGCUCAACUAGGAAUUACUGAGACGCGAUGGAAUAGAAUUAGAUUAUCGCGUGUUUUCCGGCAAAGUUGGCCCUUUCUCUUCAUGUUAUGUCAGAUUAUCAUGAUGUGCGUCGUUCUACCCCAAAAUUCGUGCCGAAUUUUUUUCUGGCUGAGACGUGCCUACCUACAAUGGAUAUCUGUACAUACCGUUGUCAAUCAUCGUAAUUCAAGAAUGGCCUAUCUUCAAACUGUAACAGCAGGUACCUUUUACGGCAUCAACAUUUCCUGCAACUGUAAUCUAUAUUGAUUUGCAUACGAUGUCUGGAGUUGCAAAAUUUUCGCAAGCACGACUGGUCAGUGGAGAUAUUGAUCCGGAACUUUAGUGUUAUCGACAUUGGUAAUUGAAGUUGAACACGUGAGACACGCAUCGAUUGUACAUUAUGCUUUGCACAAUGAGAAGGUAUGAAAUUACAUUGCAUUAAAAAAUUUAAAUUAUUCAAAAACAUGAGAGAGGUAAAUUUUGGUGAAACCAAGAAAACGCGUGAGAUAAAGUUAUAGAGGUAAAAUCUUAAAAAAAUCCUUAAGCGACCGUGUAUACGUGUAUAAAACGUAAAUAUAAACUUUCACGUUUCGCGUGAUUGACGUAGCAACGUAAAUCUGCGAAUUUCACGUGAAACGUAAAAUAAGCAUUGCGACCUGUAUAACCGAAUAUUAGGAACGUCUACGUAGAAGCCCAAUGAAAAUUGACCGUAUAUUUAUACCCGUUGAAAAAUUUCAUAUCGCAAGGAACGCACGUUUUCUCAAGCUAACGAUGUACCAAAAAUUUCCAAAGAGAUUUUGACGAGUGCACAUGCAUAUGGAUGCAGUUAUAUGCAGUCACGUUAUUCGACUUCUAAUGGGUGUCCAUUGCCACACCUGCAGCUGCAUUUGAUCGUUCGGUCAGGCCGUUGACACAAGGAGGACGGAUGUUGCCGAGAGAAAUGAAAGAACUAGAGGAAGGAUACGGCGAAUGAGAAAAGUUCGAUCAAAGUUAGUUGGGUAUAGUGCGACAGGCAAUUACCCAUUGACGUAAUGGCACAAGGGAGAAAAUGUACUAUGUACUAUUAUAGAGCCAAGAAUAAUUUCUAAGCUACCGAGAAAAUCGACUGGACGUAGGUUAACUUAUACACCUGGCAGUAACAGUAUAUAGUACCAGUAGUACCAGCCUUACUAGAUACUGGUAGUACUAGCGGUACUAGAUACUGGUAGUACCAAAAGUACAAGCAGUAGAAGUAGCAGUAGCCGUAAAAAUAUUUAUCACCUCAUAUAUCAAAGCCACGUGCUAAUUCAAUAUUUAGUACACCGCCUGUCAAAAGAGGCCCAACUGAAUUAGACAAGUAGAUCCUUUGAAUUGACGUGAAAAACACGUGACUCGUUCCGAAUCAAUAAUUAAAUAUUCUAUCAGUACUAUCUUACUACGUAAUCGCCUUAUCAAUAAUCUAUAAUAUAUUUUUUGACGGAACAUCGUCAACAAUGUCCAUUCGAAUUGUUGAUGUUUUUUCGUGAUUUCUUGUGCGAUCCAAUAAAUUCAAAUCGAUAGAUUUCGCCGGAUGGAUAUCACGCACAAUUUGGACGUUACACGUGUACUUUGUACAUUUUGAGUAUGUCGGAAUCGGUUUUUUUUUGUAUUGCCUUGUUACCCAAGCUUUGUCGGUUGAAAAAUAUUCAAAUGUUCUCCCUUAUCUGUAUGUCUGAUUGAUACGCCAUGCGUCUGUCAAUAUAUCUAUAUUCGCGUCUCUUGUGAAAUAAGUAAAUUUCGCAAUGGCCUUCGGCGGCUACGAGCUACAAUAGAGAACGAAUAAGCGCGCAGUCAAUCCGCCCCAAAUUGUUCACGAUCGAGUAGGUAUUGUGCCAGAAUGAAAAUAUACAAUGAAAUAAGAAUAAUAGUAUACAUGCGAGAAAAAAAAGAUUACAAAUAUCUUCGUCUGAGUCUGGCACGUAUUUAGAUGCAAAUUUAUCGAUAACGCUGAACGUAAUUGAAUUUCGGAAAGCGAUAAUAAUAAUUAUAUCGUAUCAAUUUUUUUUAAUUUUAUGUAUUUUCAAUUAGCUUACGCAAGUAGUAAUGGAUAUACAUAUAGUGCCAAUGUGAUAUUAUUUUCCCAUGAGCAUUCGCCAUUAGCCAAUUGAUAUAUCCAAGUGGAAGAGCGAUGUCUAUCGUGACACGAGUCUCAAAGGAAAAGUCAAAGUAAAAAAUGUGAAAAGCGUCAGAAGUUCACGCUGUCGGCAAACACGGCCUUUAUUUACGCUACAAUGCAAAUUUCCAUUAGAGUUCAAUCAACUGCCUUGCCCUGAAUGUAUUAUCGAGAAGUGAAAUGAAAAAAGAGAAGCCGAGGGAUAAUACUCGUACGUCAUAGAGACACCGCGUUAAAUCACAGGGUGAAAUAUUUCGGUGAGUUGUAAUAAAGAAUGAAAAAUUAAGAAAAAAAAUAAAAAAUAAAAAUGUAGAAAAUAAAAAAAUAAACAUUCAGACGCCUUGGAAAUUCGCGUGUCUCUCCGCACUAUACUCGCGAGGGAAAGCUGCAAAAAUUUCUUCACCGUCUCCUCUGGCUUAAAGGGGAUGAUUUCGAGAAGAUUGAAUUUGACGUGAAAUUUCUUUUGCGAAAUUAAUACACGGCUUAUUGUUGAUAUCCGAAGUCAAUCAGUGGAUGAUAAAUAAAGCGCGAAUAUUCAUCCGAGUUAAUGCAAUCGUAUAAUGUAUUCACGUGUCAGCCGUUUAUUCUUGGACGUGAAAUGAUUUAUCGAUCUCUACAAAUAUUUUCCUCGAAGGCAUCAAAGAUAUUUAUAGGGCGAUUACACAGGGUGUUCCUGAAGUAUCGGAAGAACAAAUUUUCCUGCGAAACUCGGACGGAUGACGGAACUUAGUAAAAAUGUGAAAAGAAAUACAGAAAUUGGGUACGUAAUGACACAUUUUCAUCGAGCGACGUUGUACCAUCCCUUACAUUAAGUUACGAGGGUGCUGUACCUUAAAAAGGGAAGGCAAUUAAGAGGAAAAAAAAUUACAUUGAAUUCUCUUCUUCGACAGAAUGCAUUAGGGUGUAUCUCUAUAUAUAAAUAUAUAGAUUCAUUAUCCAUUGGAAAAUAUAUAUUGACAGUUAGGGGAUGAAUUUUGCUACGGCUCUGACGCAAUGAACUUCGAUCAGAAGCAGCCAUUUUGAAACUUCAGUAUCUCAGCAACAACAACUUUAUUUUCUGCUUACGCCGGAGCUUCGUUAGAGAAAGAAGAAUGGAAGAGAGAGAAAAGAAGAGAAAACAUCAGCCUCGACUUAAUUCAAGCAUCGACAGCCGGCAAACACAAUGGAAGCGUACAACCAUCGCAGAUUUAGCGCAGGAAAUAAGAGGGAUGGUAUUCCCUGUUCCUUACGCCCUUCAUUCGGACUUGUCGACGGAAUUGGGCUUAUGGGAACUUUUGCAAAAGAUUGAAUUCACCCCAAAGUACCGCCAGUUGAUUUUGCUAACCGUUACUGUUCGACGUUUUUACAGACUCGUUUAUUACCAUCCACCAACCCCCCGGUGUCACCCUUGCUUUGUUUUCGCAUCCCCCGACAGACACCAAGAGACCCAUUCAAAUGACUUUAGGGUCUUUGAAAAGGGAUAAUAGUAAGCAGCCCACGUUACGAUUCCUUUGCUCGUGAAUCCGAACUUUUUUUCUACCCUUCAUUCCCGGGUUUUCGUAAUGAACUUUAAAUACCGAAAUAAAUUGAUCCAAGUCGAUUAUUUAUCUUGAGGUCGGAGCGGUCUUUUCAAACGUAAUAAAAGAUAAAUGACUUUGUCAACCGUGCAACGAAUGCACUUUGCAGCUGAAACUUAAACGUCACGCAACAUUUAAAUGAUACCAAUUAAACCCUAGAACGAAUUGAUAAGUCAAAGUACCAUUCUCUUAAUUCAUUUCCAUAUUAAGAAUUAUAUCAAAGACACGGUACGACGAUGAAAAUAAAUUCUUGUACACCCUGUAUAAAAUUUGUACAGGUAGACAUUAGCUAUUUCCUACUAUAGAAAAUAUACGUGUAAGGCAAUGUAAAAGAAAAUUGAAUCGUAUACGUACUACAAUAUGUAAAGAUAAAUUG
Long non-coding RNA from Cephus cinctus (wheat stem sawfly), 4570 nucleotides. RefSeq lists it as uncharacterized. The record is from RefSeq and is a predicted model, not a curated record. The transcript has 4 exons. Lineage: Eukaryota; Metazoa; Arthropoda; Insecta; Hymenoptera; Cephidae.